Molecule: ribosomal RNA, 433 nt
Filed under: uncultured bacterium
Lineage: Bacteria
Description: partial 16S ribosomal RNA
Rfam family: Bacterial small subunit ribosomal RNA
Source: RNAcentral
AGCGAACGCUGGCGGCAGGCUUAACACAUGCAAGUCGAGCGGGCACUUCGGUGUCAGCGGCAGACGGGUGAGUAACACGUGGGAACGUACCCUUCGGCUCGGAAUAACGCUGGGAAACUAGCGCUAAUACCGGAUACGCUCUUGCGGGGAAAGGUUUACUGCCGAAGGAUCGGCCGGCGUCUGAUUAGCUAGUUGGUGGGGUAAUGGCCUACCAAGGCGACGAUCAGUAGCUGGUCUGAGAGGAUGAUCAGCCACACUGGGACUGAGACACGGCCCAGACUCCUACGGGAGGCAGCAGUGGGGAAUAUUGGACAAUGGGCGCAAGCCUGAUCCAGCCAUGCCGCGUGAGUGAUGAAGGCCUUAGGGUUGUAAAGCUCGUUUGUCCGGGACGAUAAUGACGGUACCGGAAGAAUAAGCCCCGGCUAACUUCGUG